UACGUAGGGGGCAAGCGUUGUCCGGAAUUAUUGGGCGUAAAGAGCGUGUAGGCGGUCCGGUAAGUCAGCUGUGAAAGUCAAGGGCUCAACCCUUGAAAGCCGGUUGAUACUGUCGGGCUAGAGUCCGGAAGAGGCGAGUGGAAUUCCCGGUGUAGCGGUGAAAUGCGCAGAUAUCGGGAGGAACACCAAUGGCGAAGGCAAUCCCCUGGGCCUGCACUGACGCUCAUGCACGAAAGCGUGGGGAGCAAACAGG
RNAcentral lists this ribosomal RNA (253 nucleotides) under uncultured bacterium. RNAcentral's name for it is "partial 16S ribosomal RNA". It matches the Rfam family "Bacterial small subunit ribosomal RNA", at positions 524 to 776 of the family's 1533-position model. The record is from RNAcentral.